UAUCAUCUACCACUACUACCACAACCACCUUCUUUUAAAGUUGAAAUAAAUCACUAUGGAUUAAAAAAUGGCGUAGAAGAUGCUGGUUAUAUAGAUGAGACCGAUAUACAGUAAUUUAGUCAUCUGAGAAGAAUGUUCACAACAUCAUAAGCAUGUGAGAAAAUGCUUAGAGAGCACAAAGAACUGCACAACGCCGAGAGAGAGGUUCAUAUCGAAUCUGGGAAUUGGUGGUAUAUGAACUGCAGAUAAAUGAGUUGACAUAAGAUUUUGGGCACCAACUUACCUAUGAUCUUGUACAUCGACAUCAAAUUAUGCAGGUUUUUUUUAUUCCAAAGUUAAUGCAGCACGAUGCAUCUUUUGAAAGAAAUUUGACGAUUUAAGAACAAAGACUUGCUAGGCUCCACGCAAAGGGUACCUGGAAGUGGAGUACCAAUAGGACGGCCCAUUCUUUUCAGGAUUUAUCUGCGGCAUCCAUUGUCUGGUAUGACGUCAGCCACUUUCUGAGACCACCCAGCUUUUCAAAAAUUAGUCAAAUGGUUCUGGCAUCAAGCACUCGCCAGCAACAAUCCUCUGUUACGCCCUAUAAUCAGAAGUCUACUAACUAUUACACUGAAAUAC
This 618-nucleotide long non-coding RNA is filed under the name Eucalyptus grandis. RNAcentral's name for it is "long non-coding RNA (EGRA_LNC005522)". Lineage: Eukaryota; Viridiplantae; Streptophyta; Magnoliopsida; Myrtales; Myrtaceae. The record is from RNAcentral.